Molecule: non-coding RNA, 109 nt
Organism: Acanthosepion pharaonis
Lineage: Eukaryota; Metazoa; Mollusca; Cephalopoda; Sepiida; Sepiidae
Source: the annotation of a GenBank genome assembly
GCCGUAUCACGCCGUAACACCGGUUCUCAUAUAAUCGCUGAAGUUAAGCAAAGUCGAGCCUAGUCAGUACUUAGAUGGGUGACCGCUUGGGAAUACCAUGUGCUGUAAU